UCCAGCUUAUCGCUGGCGGUCUCCUGCGAGUUCCCAACUGAAUGAUGGCAACACAGGACGAGGGUUGCGCUCGUUGCGGGACUUAACCCAACAUCUCACGACACGAGCUGACGACAGCCAUGCAGCACCUCGACUGGACCCCCUUGCGGAGUAACCGUGUUUCCACGAUCGUUGACCAGCCGUUCGAGCCCAGGUAAGGUUCUUCGCGUUGCGUCGAAUUGAACCACAUGCUCCACCGCUUGUGCGGGCCCCCGUCAAUUCCUUUGAGUUUCAGCCUUGCGACUGUACUCCCCAGGCGGCAUAUUUAACGCGUUAGCUCCGGCACAGAUCAACUGAAUGACCUACACCAAAUAUGCAUCGUUUAGGGCGUGGACUAC
This 377-nucleotide unclassified non-coding RNA is filed under the name uncultured Bryobacterales bacterium. Its description in RNAcentral is "contains 16S-23S intergenic spacer region". Lineage: Bacteria; Pseudomonadati; Acidobacteriota; Terriglobia; Bryobacterales. The record is from RNAcentral.